CCUACGGGAGGCAGCAGUGAGGAAUCUUGGUCAAUGGACGCAAGUCUGAACCAGCCAUGCCGCGUGCAGGAAGACGGCUCUAUGAGUUGUAAACUGCUUUUGUACGAGGGUAAACGCAGAUACGCGUAUCUGUCUGAAAGUAUCGUACGAAUAAGGAUCGGCUAACUCCGUGCCAGCAGCCGCGGUAAUACGGAGGAGUCAAGCGUUAUCCGGAUUUAUUGGGUUUAAAGGGUGCGUAGGCGGUCGGAUAAGUUAGAGGUGAAAUCCCGAGGCGCAACUUCGGAAUUGCCGCUGAUACUGUUCGGCGAGAGAGUAGUUGCGGUAGGCGGAAUGUAUGGUGUAGCGGUGAAAUGCUUAGAGAUCAUACAGAACACCGAUUGCGAAGGCAGCUUACCAAGCUACUUCUGACGUUGAGGCACGAAAGCGUGGGGAGCAAACAGGAUUAGAUACCCUGGUAGUC
Molecule: ribosomal RNA, 460 nt
Filed under: uncultured bacterium
Lineage: Bacteria
Description: partial 16S ribosomal RNA
Rfam family: Bacterial small subunit ribosomal RNA
Source: RNAcentral